Cimex lectularius (bed bug) is the source of this 595-nucleotide long non-coding RNA. RefSeq lists it as uncharacterized. The record is from RefSeq and is a predicted model, not a curated record. Lineage: Eukaryota; Metazoa; Arthropoda; Insecta; Hemiptera; Cimicidae. The transcript has 2 exons.
UUUCCACACAUACAAAACACACUUUAUACCCAUAAAAAAAUAAUUUAAAAAAAUGAUAUGAACAAUAUGAUAUAACUAUAUGAUUUGCUAAUCGUUGCAGUUUAUUUUUAGCCCAUCGUAAAUUGCCAAGUCAGCAACAAAUCGAGUUGCAUCUUAUGCCAUGUCUAAUCAGCGAAAUACUUUUAAUAUCCGAACUUGAACAUGCAAAGAAUUUAUAUUCAGCCGUACCAUCCUUAUCGUGUUCUUUCGUACGUUUGUACGUUUGAUCAAGUGAGCCGAUUACAAUCGAUCUUUGAUUCAUUCACACCGUUCAUUUGAUAAUUCGAUCAAACACUACGCUGGUUUAAUUCGUCGAUCGUUUUAUUUUAUCACUUUCAUAUGCACCGUCAGUGUCUCAGUGAUAUGAGUGCACUUGAAGUGACUACAUCGGGCUACUUACGCUCGUUCACUUGAAAGGAAAUCCUCACCGCAGACCAGUAUGAUAUAAAUGAAAUGCGCCAUAUAUUUAGAAUUACUAGAUUGUCGUUUUAUCUCAAAUGAUAUCUCUGAUGAAUAAAAAAAAAAAAAAAAAAAAAAAAAAAAAAAAAAAAAAAAA